Molecule: transfer RNA, 241 nt
Filed under: Anopheles darlingi
Lineage: Eukaryota; Metazoa; Arthropoda; Insecta; Diptera; Culicidae
Description: tRNA Tyrosine
Rfam family: tRNA
About the family: Transfer RNA (tRNA) molecules are approximately 80 nucleotides in length.
Source: RNAcentral
CCUUCGAUAGCUCAGUUGGUAGAGCGGUGGACUGUAGUUCGAAGUCGAUAAUGUGUGGUGGGUGACCGUUAAAGUGUGUGUUCGUGGGCCUGUUGAGUGCAUUCGCGGCCCGGAAAAGGAAGUACGCAGUGUACUUAUUAUUAUAGACGGCCCUCAAGGACACGCUCUCGAUCGGUCAGUCAUCAUUGAAUUUUCCAUUAGAGAUAUCCAUAGGUCACUGGUUCAAAUCCGGUUCGAAGGA